GGCACGCGUUUGUUCAAACUCCCAAGAAAUGCUAAAGAAAAAGAAGAAGACGACAUUUGUCACAUUGCUCUCUAUUACUCUCCCUAUUACACACUGAUCACGAGAGCUGAAACCGUCUGCGUAAGACAGAGGUUUUGAUUUCGCAUGUGAUUGGAUCCUUCUACCUGAGCAGAAAGAUUGAUCCAAAAUAUACUAGUAUGUGUUCUAAAUAUAUCCAAUUGGGAUUGAGAUUCAUCAAUUCAUGUAGUCUACUCAAUUUAUGAGAAGUUAAUUUCAUGUUUUCGCCCCACAGUUUUUCCUUAAAGUUAUGAUUAAUAAUUAUUUUAUCUGAAAUUAGUG
This 339-nucleotide long non-coding RNA is filed under the name Brassica napus (rape). RNAcentral's name for it is "long non-coding RNA (BNAP_LNC023483)". The record is from RNAcentral. Lineage: Eukaryota; Viridiplantae; Streptophyta; Magnoliopsida; Brassicales; Brassicaceae.